This is a non-coding RNA of Danio rerio (zebrafish), 398 nucleotides long. The record is from RefSeq and is a predicted model, not a curated record. NCBI's taxonomy places the organism in Eukaryota, Metazoa, Chordata, Actinopteri, Cypriniformes, Danionidae.
GGACGUUUGGUUUUUAGCAGGUGUAGAGACCGUCUGGGCAGCAGAAACAAGACAACUAAUCAUAUUUAGAUACAAUCAAAUGUCCAAACCAUCUCUGAGUGAAUGACAUCAAGGAAACAGGAUCAAAAAGAUCAUUCAUUAUAGAAUGUUUCAUAGUUGGUUAUAUUUUUCAGGUCCUCCUGAUCAUUCUGUUCUCCUGGUUGUGAGGAUGUGCAGAGGCUGUAUUUGUCAGUGUUAAAAGACUUGUGCAGCUGUAUGCAGACAUACAAGCAGCCGACAAAGAGUUCUGGAGCAGGACAGACAGGUAGUUCACAGUGGCUAGGCUAGAAGUUUAUACUUGGGUGGCCAGAAAGUGGCCUCCGCUAUUUUGGAGGGUCCAUACAAAUACACCAGUGUAA